RNAcentral lists this ribosomal RNA (324 nucleotides) under uncultured Bacillota bacterium. Its description in RNAcentral is "bacterial SSU rRNA". It matches the Rfam family "Bacterial small subunit ribosomal RNA", at positions 29 to 351 of the family's 1533-position model. Lineage: Bacteria; Bacillati; Bacillota. The record is from RNAcentral.
AACGAACGCUGGCGGCGUGCUUAACACAUGCAAGUCGAGCGUGAAAGUCCCUUCGGGGGCGAGUAAAGCGGCGGACGGGUGAGUAACGCGUGGGAAACCUGCCUUAUACAAAGGAAUAGCCUCGGGAAACUGGGAUUAAUGCCUUAUGACACUUCACUAACACAUGUUAGAGAAGUCAAAGCUCCGGCGGUAUAAGAUGGUCCCGCGUCCCAUUAGCUAGUUGGUGAGAUAAAAGACUCACCAAGGCGACGAUGGGUAGCCGGCCUUAGCGGGUGAACGGCCACACUGGAACUGAGACACGGUCCAGACUCCUACGGGAGGCAG